Non-coding RNA from Ictidomys tridecemlineatus (thirteen-lined ground squirrel), 73 nucleotides. Lineage: Eukaryota; Metazoa; Chordata; Mammalia; Rodentia; Sciuridae. The record is from Rfam.
GGGGGUGUAACUCAGUGGUAGAGAACUUGCCUAAGCAUGUGCAAGGCCCUGGGUUUGAACCCCAGCACCACAA